GAGUCGGCCUGCGCGGAAGAUGUAACGGGGCUCAAACCACACACCGAAGCUGCGGGUGUCACGUAAGUGACGCGGUAGAGGAGCGUUCUGUAAGCCUGUGAAGGUGAGUUGAGAAGCUUGCUGGAGGUAUCAGAAGUGCGAAUGCUGACAUGAGUAACGACAAUGGGUGUGAAAAACACCCACGCCGAAAGACCAAGGGUUCCUGCGCAACGUUAAUCGACGCAGGGUUAGUCGGUUCCUAAGGCGAGGCUGAAAAGCGUAGUCGAUGGGAAACAGGUUAAUAUUCCUGUACUUCUGGUUACUGCGAUGGAGGGACGGAGAAGGCUAGGCCAGCUUGGCGUUGGUUGUCCAAGUUUAAGGUGGUAGGCUGAAAUCUUAGGUAAAUCCGGGGUUUCAAGGCCGAGAGCUGAUGACGAGUCGUCUUUUAGAUGACGAAGUGGUUGAUGCCAUGCUUCCAAGAA
This 461-nucleotide ribosomal RNA is filed under the name Pseudomonas aeruginosa. RNAcentral describes it as "partial 23S ribosomal RNA". It matches the Rfam family "Bacterial large subunit ribosomal RNA", at positions 1151 to 1614 of the family's 2925-position model. The record is from RNAcentral. Lineage: Bacteria; Pseudomonadati; Pseudomonadota; Gammaproteobacteria; Pseudomonadales; Pseudomonadaceae.